AAAUUGAAGAGUUUGAUCAUGGCUCAGAUUGAACGCUGGCGGCAGGCCUAACACAUGCAAGUCGAACGGUAACAGGAAGCAGCUUGCUGCUUUGCUGACGAGUGGCGGACGGGUGAGUAAUGUCUGGGAAACUGCCUGAUGGAGGGGGAUAACUACUGGAAACGGUAGCUAAUACCGCAUAACGUCGCAAGACCAAAGAGGGGGACCUUCGGGCCUCUUGCCAUCGGAUGUGCCCAGAUGGGAUUAGCUUGUUGGUGGGGUAACGGCUCACCAAGGCGACGAUCCCUAGCUGGUCUGAGAGGAUGACCAGCCACACUGGAACUGAGACACGGUCCAGACUCCUACGGGAGGCAGCAGUGGGGAAUAUUGCACAAUGGGCGCAAGCCUGAUGCAGCCAUGCCGCGUGUAUGAAGAAGGCCUUCGGGUUGUAAAGUACUUUCAGCGGGGAGGAAGGG
RNAcentral lists this ribosomal RNA (455 nucleotides) under Escherichia coli. RNAcentral describes it as "bacterial SSU rRNA". It matches the Rfam family "Bacterial small subunit ribosomal RNA", at positions 1 to 452 of the family's 1533-position model. The record is from RNAcentral. Lineage: Bacteria; Pseudomonadati; Pseudomonadota; Gammaproteobacteria; Enterobacterales; Enterobacteriaceae.